Molecule: ribosomal RNA, 447 nt
Filed under: uncultured bacterium
Lineage: Bacteria
Description: bacterial SSU rRNA
Rfam family: Bacterial small subunit ribosomal RNA
Source: RNAcentral
UCGGGAAUAUUGGACAAUGGGCGAAAGCCUGAUCCAGCAAUGCCGCGUGAGUGAUGAAGGCCUUAGGGUUGUAAAGCUCUUUUACCAGGGAUGAUAAUGACAGUACCUGGAGAAUAAGCUCCGGCUAACUCCGUGCCAGCAGCCGCGGUAAUACGGAGGGAGCUAGCGUUGUUCGGAAUUACUGGGCGUAAAGCGUACGUAGGCGGUGACUCAAGUCAGAGGUGAAAGCCUGGAGCUCAACUCCAGAACUGCCUUUGAAACUAGGUCGCUAGAAUCACGGAGAGGUGAGUGGAAUUCCGAGUGUAGAGGUGAAAUUCGUAGAUAUUCGGAAGAACACCAGUGGCGAAGGCGGCUCACUGGACGUGUAUUGACGCUGAGGUACGAAAGCGUGGGGAGCAAACAGGAUUAGAUACCCUUGUAGUCCCUGAGCGGGCUGGCAAGGCGCAU